This 674-nucleotide ribosomal RNA is filed under the name uncultured bacterium. Its description in RNAcentral is "partial 16S ribosomal RNA". It matches the Rfam family "Bacterial small subunit ribosomal RNA", at positions 828 to 1501 of the family's 1533-position model. The record is from RNAcentral.
GGGUUUCCGCCCUUCAGUNNNGCAGCAAACGCAUUAAGCACUCCGCCUGGGGAGUACGACCGCAAGGUUGAAACUCAAAGGAAUUGACGGGGGNNNNCACAAGCGGUGGAGCAUGUGGUUUAAUUCGAAGCAACGCGAAGAACCUUACCAGGUCUUGACAUCCUUUGACCACUCUAGAGAUAGAGCUUCCCCUUCGGGGGCAAAGUGACAGGUGGUGCAUGGUUGUCGUCAGCUCGUGUCGUGAGAUGUUGGGUUAAGUCCCGCAACGAGCGCAACCCUUAUAGUUAGUUGCCAUCAUUUAGUUGGGCACUCUAGCGAGACUGCCGGUGACAAACCGGAGGAAGGUGGGGAUGACGUCAAAUCAUCAUGCCCCUUAUGACCUGGGCUACACACGUGCUACAAUGGGAAGUACAACGAGUUGCGAAGUCGCGAGGCUAAGCUAAUCUCUUAAAGCUUCUCUCGGUUCGGAUUGUAGGCUGCAACUCGCCUACAUGAAGCCGGAAUCGCUAGUAAUCGCGGAUCAGCACGCCGCGGUGAAUACGUUCCCGGGCCUUGUACACACCGCCCGUCACACCACGAGAGUUUGUAACACCCGAAGUCGGNNANGNAACCUUUUUGGAGCCAACCGCCUNNNGUGGGAUAGAUNNNUNNGGUGAAGUCGUAACAAGGUAACC